RNA transcript from Polistes canadensis, 1307 nucleotides. It is a transcript of the gene named optic atrophy 3 protein homolog, with no coding region annotated. The transcript is spliced from 5 exons. The record is from RefSeq and is a predicted model, not a curated record. Lineage: Eukaryota; Metazoa; Arthropoda; Insecta; Hymenoptera; Vespidae.
UUUAGUUCUAGAUUAUAACAUACCACGAAAUAUUAAAAAUGGCUAUGUAAUAGUAUUGUAAAAGGUCUAUAUGUAAGUGACAGAGAUAUUUAACAAUGAUCAUUAAUAGAAUAAUUUAUGUAUUGAUUGAUUGUUAAUUUUAUAGCAUUCCUAUUAACAAAACACAGAUAGUGAUCUAUAUAAUAAUAUUCGUUAUGAAGUUAUAACUAUCUACAGUAUUUUCAAAUAAUUUUGGAGAUGAGAAUAUAAGGAAAAAAGGUUGAUGUGUUGCAUUAAAAACUACAACGAAGAAUGGCUAUCGGUGUAUUUCCUGUUCUUAAAUUAGGUGUAUUACUUAUCAAACAAAUUAGUAAACCUUUGGCUAAAUUAAUAGUUAAUCAAGCUAAAAAUCAUCCUGUAUUUCGUACAUACUUUAUUAUUCCACCUGCUCAAUUUUAUCAUUGGGCAGAAGUUAAAGGUAAAAUGUAUAUGAUGAAUCUUGGAAAACCAACGAAAGUAGCUAAGUUAAACGAAACUAUGGCAAUAGAAUUAGGAUCUAACUUAAUGGGAGAAGUUAUUAUUUUUAGUCUUGCUGGUGGAUGUUUAAUAUUUGAAUAUAAUCGUCAAGUUGCUAAAGAAGCAAAAAGAGAAGAAGCACGCAAUGCACAGAUACAAGAAUUUAAGAAUAAUAUCGAGUCAUUACAAAAUAAUAGUACACAAUUACAAAGUGAUAUUAUUUAUUUACAAGAUGUUAUAAAAGAAUUAGCGAAACGAACGAAGUAUCAACUACCUGAACAACCUGUGUUAACAGAAACUGAGAAAAAAGUUGAUCAACCACAAAGUACAAAUACUACAAUAAGCACAGAAGCAACAGACAAUACAGAAAUAAAAGGUUCGCUGGUUCAACGCGCUAUAACAUAUUAUGAAAAUAAUGUUAAAGCAGAUAGAUAGAAGAAAAAAAUUAGGUAACUCUAGUCUUUUGAUCAAUAAUGGCAUAAUUUGUAAUUUUAUCAUAAAAAUGAAUAAAAAUUUUAAUUCAAAUAAAGGUGACAAACUAGACGUUUUAAAAUGACCAUAAAUAGAAGGAGAUCGGCUUCUACUUCUCCUAUUAAUGGAAUGACGACUGUACGAAGAAGGCGGAGGAGUUCGACGUUUUAACGCAGGACUAUUAUUGCGAGAUCUUUUGAUAGCGGAUUCAGUAAGCUGACGUAUUUUUAGAGACAAGGCAGCGUUUUCAGCACGAAGUUUUUGAAUUUGUGCUCGGAAUGAUGCUCGUUCUUUAGCAACGCUAUUUUCUAAUGCACUUAUUGCACUAGCUAAUCGUCUUA